UACGUAGGGUGCGAGCGUUAAUCGGAAUUACUGGGCGUAAAAGUGUGCGCAGGCGGCCGCGCAAGUCGAGUGUGAAAGCCCCGGGCUUAACUUGGGAAUUGCGCUCGAAACUACGUGGCUGGAGUGUGGCAGAGGAAGGUGGAAUUCCACGUGUAGCGGUGAAAUGCGUAGAGAUGUGGAGGAACACCAAUGGCGAAGGCAGCCUUCUGGGCCAACACUGACGCUCAUGCACGAAAGCGUGGGGAGCAAACAGG
RNAcentral lists this ribosomal RNA (254 nucleotides) under uncultured bacterium. RNAcentral's name for it is "partial 16S ribosomal RNA". It matches the Rfam family "Bacterial small subunit ribosomal RNA", at positions 524 to 776 of the family's 1533-position model. The record is from RNAcentral.